Molecule: long non-coding RNA, 1192 nt
Filed under: Homo sapiens (human)
Lineage: Eukaryota; Metazoa; Chordata; Mammalia; Primates; Hominidae
Description: HSALNT0391001
Source: RNAcentral
UUUCUAUUUUUACAUAUCAUAUUUUAUACCUUAAAAGUUGUACGUAUUGCAAACAAGAAAAUAUCAAGGGAACAUUGAAAUCCAUGGAUUCCAAUUAGAAAAAUUCUAUGUAAGAUCUAUAAGGGCAGGGAUUUUUUUUUUAUUUUGUCUGCAUUUGUUUUUGUACUCCCAACACUAUAUUUGCUGACCAAAUGAAUUGAAUUCAGCAUUUUAUUAAUGUGUUUACUUCUCAGCCCUCACAUAUGCCUAUUUCAUUUGACCAAUUUCUAGACUCUAGCAACCUUUCUCUAUUCCAAACUUUUUAUUCUUAUUACCUGAACCACAUUAAAUCCUCCAUCCUUUCUCCAUUCCUGUUUACUAAACCUUUACUCCUUCAAUUGUGGGCCAGAGAUUGUCUUUUCUCUUCCUUUUAUUCUACAGGGUGUUCCUUUGCCAAAUUUACCUACAAAAAGAAUGUUGGACUCUUGCAAUUUUGUUUGAGAUUCUCAUGAAGAUAAUUAUUGUAACACAAUUGUAUUCUAAAAUAUGAAUUUGACUUCACAUCAGCUAGUUAGCCUAAAUGUCAGCCUAUUUGUAAAAGCCUUUUAGUCCCAUUAUCACCCCGGACAAAAUUAAUGUUUCCUGCCUAUGUCCCAAGGUAAUAUGUACUGUAUGAUAUUGCAAUUAAUUGUGUACAAGUCUGUCUCUCCUGCACACUGUGACUCCUAAGGAUAAGAACAGCUUUCCAUAUUAGCUGGUAUUCAUUAAUCCAUUCAUUCAUCUGACAUACUUUGAGAGUCUGCUUUGCAUCAAGAACUGUGCUAUGUUCUAGGGAUACCAAAGUUGAAUAAGAAAGGGAUCGUAUUCAUCAGGAAUUCAUAGCCUAAUUUGCAUACAAGUAAACGCUUGUGCAAUAUGGUACAGUAUGAUGGGAGCUGUAAUAAAAGAAAGGCACCCAACAGAGCUUUGUUGGGUAUACAUAUUCUGGUAGGUACAAAUAAUAGUUGUGGUAGAGGAUCUGUAAGUUAGCAGCGGAAGUCACUUAACACAGGAAACGUCCUCACAGACUUUCUUUAAUUUUUUAAUGAAAAAAAUGCUUGCAAUUUAUAUCUAUAUCUAUAUCUAUCUAUCUAUCUAUCUAUCUAUCUAUCUAUCUAUCUAUCUAUAUAUCUGUCACGCAGCCAAGAUCAUGUCAUUGCACUACAGCCUGGGU